UUAACACAAAUUUGUAUGCAGUUGGAACAGCGCCCCUAGCGGCAAACGUAGGCAAACGUGCCAACUCCAUACAAACUUGAGUUA
This 84-nucleotide microRNA precursor is filed under the name Bombyx mori (domestic silkworm). RNAcentral describes it as "mir-2807 microRNA precursor family". It matches the Rfam family "mir-2807 microRNA precursor family". The record is from Rfam by way of RNAcentral. Lineage: Eukaryota; Metazoa; Arthropoda; Insecta; Lepidoptera; Bombycidae.